RNAcentral lists this ribosomal RNA (301 nucleotides) under uncultured bacterium. RNAcentral's name for it is "partial 16S ribosomal RNA". It matches the Rfam family "Bacterial small subunit ribosomal RNA", at positions 509 to 810 of the family's 1533-position model. The record is from RNAcentral.
CAGCCGCCACGGUAAUACGUAGGGUGCGAGCGUUAAUCGGAAUUAUUGGGCGUAAAGGGAGCGCAGGCGGACAUAUAAGUCCAUCUUAAAAGUGCGGGGCUCAACCCCGUGAGGGGAUGGAAACUGCCAAUCUAGAGUAUCGGAGAGGAAAGUGGAAUUCCUAGUGUAGCGGUGAAAUGCGUAGAUAUUAGGAAGAACACCAGUGGCGAAGGCGACUUUCUGGACGAAAACUGACGCUGAGGCGCGAAAGCCAGGGGAGCGAACGGGAUUAGAUACCCCCGUAGUCCUGUCUCUUAUACAC